Long non-coding RNA from Juglans microcarpa x Juglans regia, 1972 nucleotides. RefSeq lists it as uncharacterized. The transcript is spliced from 2 exons. The record is from RefSeq and is a predicted model, not a curated record. Lineage: Eukaryota; Viridiplantae; Streptophyta; Magnoliopsida; Fagales; Juglandaceae.
CCCUCUCCCUCAUUGCCCACCCUUUGAGGUACAGAGACCAGUUUUUCUAUAGCGUUUUGUACAGGAAUUUUCCUAGUGCUUCUCCGAUUAUUACUUUUAACAGUACAGGAGAAUCCGUAAAGCUCAGGAGGGAUAGCGCCAUGAAUUACUGUGAUCAUGAUCAUCAUGUUUGUGUGAUUACUGGCGCUAUCUAUCCUGAGUUUCAUGGGUUCUUCUUACUUUCUCUGGACUGUGGUCUCAGCUCCGACCGAGAAGAAUACGUUGUCUCUUCUGGAUAUUAUUCUUCGUUAGAUAUGGAUUUUGUGACCUGCGCAUCAUUGAGGAGGCCUCUCUUACGGACUCUUACGACUCCAAAUAUCUCUAGUUUGGAACAUCUGAAAAUCUUCUGAAUCACUGUGUUGUUUGUGGAUUACACUUACAUCUAUGAUUAUUUUUGGUCGGAAAAGAAGCAGGUGAAGUACCAUGCACUUGUUCUCGGCAUAAUUUUUGCAAAAACAUUAUGGCAACAUAAAUGAUCUGGUCCUUCUAUCCACUUCAUGUCCAACCACCGCACCUUACGUUGUUGGAUUCCGUUGGAUCUUUCAAUUUUGCUGCUGGAUUUCCUUCCUCAUACCUCUAACUUUUACUUAGAUCUUUUGAAUAUGCAUUAUUUGUGAUUUGGCUUCGAAUGGCUUCUUUUCUGGGUUUCCCUUUACAUAUUUACGGGCAAAAGUCUGUAGUAUUCUCUAGAAGAUCAAACUAACAGUGAAACCAGUUUCUUUUGCCUCCAUUUUUAAGCCUUGCAGAUCUCUCUCUGAACAAAAUUUUAGAACUUAUUAGGUCUGAUAGUACUUCUGUAUUGUUGCAGCUGGAAUUUAUUUUGGGCGAGUCUGAAACCCUAGGGAGAGAGCCUUUUUGAAGUAGUGGGAACUGAGCUAGGGUUUCAUAUUUGAUCGAGAUAUUUGCAGGCUUUGUAGUAAAGAGGGUCUUCGUAACUCUGGAUGUUGACUCCCUUCACAUCUUUGUUCGGGUCGCCGUCCAUUCACUUUAAUUUCUAUAUUUAUUCACCCACAUAUCAUAAUUAUUGCUCUUUAAAAAGUGAAAUUGAUGUAAAAUCUAAAACUAUUUACGACUGUGAUGGAUUAUUCUAAUCCCUGAAUUAAACUAAAACAGCUGUUUAAUUUUGCAUUCUGGGUUGAAGAUCAUCAUGUCUAUCUGUUUGAAUAUUUUUAUGUUAGUUUUUUUUUAUCCAUUCCCUGUUUCAGAUUCAAUGUGGAUCAUCUGGUUGGCCAUUAUAGACCCACAUCUACGGUUGGGAGUGAUGAUUUUUGGGCCAAUUUGCAAGUGUCGAUAAGCCUGACCUAACUUUAGGGUACAUGGUGUGUCUAAUUGUUUGGGGACAGAGAAACCAACGCACCUGUUAUGUUUAUUAGUUUAAACCCUUUGAUGUUGUGAUUAUAUAUAUAUAUAUAUAAGGUAAUUAUCUUCACAAGGUAAUGUUCUUGAACAGGGACCCCACUUUAGAGUUUCUUAAUUUAGGAGGUUCCACUCUGAACGUUUAACUUCAAAAGCUCCCAUUCAGGAUGCUUAUCCUUCUGAAAGGAAACUUAAGCUCAUGUUGUUUGGACUUUACAUGACCAACCAUUUCCUGUGAAAUCUAGAUACUGCGAUACUUGUUUUCCUGACCUUUGCGGUCCAAAAACACUUGGAUUUGUGAGAUGAUGGCAGGAUAACCAACGCAGAUUAAUUGAAUGAGAAAAGCUGGAAAAGUAGAAAUUCUAAUGGCUCACACAGUGCAUGUAUCCAUUUGUUGUUGCCACCCAUGAGACCUGAGUCUGGUAGCAUCAUAUGCAACAAGCCUAUAUGGUGGAACGAGGAAGACAAACUACAUACACACCCUCAAACUGCACAAUAAUUUUGAGCUGCAAAUGGUAUCUUUUAAUGCAUGAGUUGUUAUGGUAUAUAUAGCCAACUCUGAUCCUAUUUGUAAUAA